Gambusia affinis (western mosquitofish) is the source of this 660-nucleotide long non-coding RNA. RefSeq lists it as uncharacterized. The record is from RefSeq and is a predicted model, not a curated record. The transcript has 3 exons. Lineage: Eukaryota; Metazoa; Chordata; Actinopteri; Cyprinodontiformes; Poeciliidae.
CUCACCUCUGAACUCCCAGUGCUGCCGUUUCCUCCAUGUGUCCUGCAGCUCUGGAUGCGACUAAUAUGACGACUCUGGGAAAGAAAAGGCAGAAGACCAGGUUAAAGUUUUAACCUUUCAGUCCGAGUUGAAUCCAUUUUUGGGUCCAUUUUUGCUCGAGAUUCUUCACCAGGGGAAAAAAAGAGCCUUAGUGCCACCUAGUGGUCAAACAAGAUGCCUGCCUUGAUAUUGGAUGAAUAAAAGAUAAAUAAAAAAGCACUUUAUUUUAAUCUUUUUAUUAGGCUCUCUCAUUUCCCCUCUACUUCCCUGGUCUUUGUUUCCACAGUGGCACUAAUUCACCAGAAAUAAAAUGUUAUCUAAAUAUGGAGUUCAUCAAAAUAUUUGAACAGAACCUGAGUCACAUUUCAAGAGGAAAUCUGAGGCACUUGAUUUCGAAAACACGAGUCUGGGUCAAAGGUGAAUGUGGUUUUACAGCCUGUCAUGAAAGAUGAUUGGAGGGAAGGAAAAUGUAGGGAACUGAAAGUCAUCCAUAGCGCCAGUUCAGUGUCAGUCAUCCGAGGCUGGGAAACGGGAAACACAACCAUGGACGGCGCUGCUUUGCGUCGGACAUGCAUCGGUCUUAUUGUGUCUGUUUUGAUCCAUGUGGUUACUGGAAGUCCA